AAAAUAGUCUUUGGGGUUCUUAGUUGGUUUGUAAGGCCUGUCUAAAAUCAACUGUGGUCCAAUCUACAUUAGGCUAGGGGUCUCUGGGUAUAUUUCACUGAAGAAAAAUAUAAGCACCACCAAAAAGAAAUGUAGCACCACAGGAGGUUACUUCCCUCCAUUUGGUCCAACAGAUGGGUAUAGGGGUCUAAAUACUCUUAGGGGUACUAAGUUGGUUUGUAAGGCUCAUUGGUCAACAGGCAACUGUGGUCUAAUCUUUAAGUUAAGGGUUCUCAUAGGGUAUAUUUCAUUAAAGAAAAAUAUAUAACUACCAAGAAAAACAAACUAAGCACCAUGGGAGGUAGCUUUCCUCUCAGUUGGCCCAACAGACAGAUUUAGGGGUCUAACACAUUCUUUUGG
This 399-nucleotide long non-coding RNA is filed under the name Mytilus galloprovincialis (Mediterranean mussel). The record is from RNAcentral. Lineage: Eukaryota; Metazoa; Mollusca; Bivalvia; Mytilida; Mytilidae.